This 301-nucleotide ribosomal RNA is filed under the name uncultured Actinomycetes bacterium. Its description in RNAcentral is "bacterial SSU rRNA". It matches the Rfam family "Bacterial small subunit ribosomal RNA", at positions 286 to 599 of the family's 1533-position model. Lineage: Bacteria; Bacillati; Actinomycetota; Actinomycetes. The record is from RNAcentral.
GCCGGCCUGAGAGGGUGUCCGGCCACACUGGGACUGAGAUACGGCCCAGACUCCUACGGGAGGCAGCAGUGGGGAAUAUUGCACAAUGGGCGCAAGCCUGAUGCAGCGACGCCGCGUGGGGGAUGACGGCCUUCGGGUUGUAAACCUCUUUCAGUAGGGACGAAGCGCAAGUGACGGUACCUACAGAAGAAGGACCGGCCAACUACGUGCCAGCAGCCGCGGUAAUACGUAGGGUCCGAGCGUUGUCCGGAAUUACUGGGCGUAAAGAGCUCGUAGGUGGUUUGUCGCGUUGUUCGUGAAA